Molecule: non-coding RNA, 517 nt
Organism: Nomia melanderi (Alkali bee)
Lineage: Eukaryota; Metazoa; Arthropoda; Insecta; Hymenoptera; Halictidae
Source: RefSeq, a predicted model, not a curated record
AUUUCGACAAUGUUGCCUACAUAAAAGGAGGCAACAAUUACAGUGGACAUACAGUAACAAAAAACUAAAGAAAUACACAAUACAACAUCAUGAACGGAAAGUGGCAAUUCCUUCUGUUAUUUGUUUCUCUUAUUUUAAUGUCGGAAUAUAUAAUUUUACCAGUCAUGGGCGCCUGUAAUACUUUAUCCAAAAGAACUCUUUGCAGAAGCGAUAAGUACAGAAUAAUGUGCAGGUUGACACGUGCGGAAUGCGCACCUUACAGAGGGAAAUGAGACCAACACCAUAAUCAAUCAAUGUAUUUCAAAUGUAUGGCCUGUACAUUGCAUGAUACUAUAACUGAAUUUCAAAAAUAAAUAUUGUUUCUUGGGAACCUAUCACUGUUUUUUAUUCUUACAGUACCUCAAAUGAGAAUUUACCUUGGAGUGUAAACAAUUUACGAACUUAAAUAUUCAAAAAGUCUACUGGUUAAAUUUAAUUCCAAUGACUUCAGCAUUAGAUUAAACUUCCACAAUUUCGA